This is a long non-coding RNA of Drosophila santomea, 420 nucleotides long. RefSeq lists it as uncharacterized. The record is from RefSeq and is a predicted model, not a curated record. The transcript is spliced from 2 exons. NCBI's taxonomy places the organism in Eukaryota, Metazoa, Arthropoda, Insecta, Diptera, Drosophilidae.
UCGUAAAUUUUCAGAGCAAGUGAGCAGAUGGAAUUUCGGCGAGUGCAUCACGUGCGAAAACUCCCGUAUACGCAAAUUCGCAAAAACUGCAGCGGCGAUCGAUCACACGCAUAUUAAUUGGGGUGGGGAUAUGGGCCAAGGCGUGUGCGCCAUGCAAAAUGUUAAAUGUGAAGUGCUAAAUGCGAAAUGCAAAAUGCAAAAUGCGAAAUGGAAUAUCAUGACAACACCCGCUCACGCCCAUCGAAUCAGCAGAGCUGCGGAUUAAUGUAACAUGCAAAAAAUGCCGCAAUUUAUUUACAUUUACCAGCACUUGAGAAAAUGGUUUCAUUCGGUAUAAUAAUAAUAUAUGUAUAACAGAUAAUAAUAAAAAAAAUCCUUUUUAAAUUCUUUAAUAAAACCUGAUGUGCUGAGAUAUAUUUA